This 242-nucleotide unclassified non-coding RNA is filed under the name Hevea brasiliensis (rubber tree). Lineage: Eukaryota; Viridiplantae; Streptophyta; Magnoliopsida; Malpighiales; Euphorbiaceae. The record is from RNAcentral.
CCGCGCGACGACGCUCGGCGACCGCCGCUGCUUCUCGAGGUCUUCCCCGGCGUCUGAUGCGUCUGACUGGUUCGCCGGCGAGCGAAUCUCGCGCGGGCGGAGCUUGCCCUUGGCAUCAACGAUAGCGCGGCUGUCAAGAGACAGCCGCGGGGCCUCCCGGAACUUCCACGACGAUUUGCCGGUGUCCUUGAACUCGAAGACGGGGAGCGGCCUCACAGGGGCGGCCCGCCUCUCCGGUGAGG